Molecule: long non-coding RNA, 4360 nt
Organism: Gallus gallus (chicken)
Lineage: Eukaryota; Metazoa; Chordata; Aves; Galliformes; Phasianidae
Source: Ensembl
CUAGGCAUGUAUUCAUGUACUGUACAUUCAUUCAGACAACCCAUUAAAUAGUGUUUGUUAACCUUUAAUUCAGAUGUCUGCAAUAAGAUAAUACAAUGUAAAACACAAGUCAAUGGAGGGUCGUAAAGCUGUUUCUGCUACAGUUUUUAUUAGCCUGUUAUUCAGUGCUGAAUGCAGCUACACCCUGAAGCAAGUCUUGUAUAAAAGUACAAUGUCAAUAUAUUAUGAUACAAACUCAACCUAUAAAAUCAAUGACAAGUAUUAUGUCUGUUGCUAUCACCUACUAAAAUAUAGAUACUGUUUUUAAUGGAUGCAGUGGUGCUAGGCUCAACAUCAUUGUGCUAUUAAACUUAACCCCUUAGGCAUGAAACACAUAGGGCUUCUGGACAAGGACUGCUCAUUGUAGGGUGCUACAGCAAUCAAGGCAGCAUAUGUAAGCAUAGGAAUAUGUAUGAAUUAAAUUCCUUCUAAAAGGCUGUUGAAGGAAAACAGAAUUCCAAUCUACACAGUGGUGUGAUAAUCAAUUGCAUUCUUCUUAAUAAGGUUAAUUUGCAAGAACCAUUAAUCCUGCUAAUCAAACAUUUGUAUUUCAUUAACAAGUGAAUAGAAUGUGUAUUGUAAGAUUUGAAAAUGGCAUCAAACUGAAAAGGAUUUCAAAUUUUUUGGAAAAUACUGUUAGACUUCGGAGCAGUAAAUUGCAAGAAGACUCUGAAAUCAUGUGAUAUAAUUUAAUAUGAAUAACUUCAAAGUAGAGAUAUUCUCCCCACUACCCCAAUUUGACUGCAUGAGUAGAAAUGAGGUAGUAACUGGAAGCGAUAGGCUACAGAUAUGUAGCAAACAAACAGAAUAAUUCUACUCUAAAAAAAAAAAAGUUGCCCUUUAACAUACCAGUAAAAUAGUUGAAUGUAAGACCAGAAGUAAAUACUGCUCUCUACUAAACACUAGAGAGAUUGCAACAUGAAUAAUAUAUUCUGUUUUGAGUAGCACAGGUUAAAAAUAGGAAAGAAACAAAGGCGGGGUAGAAACUCCAGAAAGGGGUAAGAAAAUGGGACACCAUAAGGAAAAGAUGAUCUGUAAAGACAGAUUGUAUGAGAAAAUAAGGAACUAACCUGCAAGUUUGGAGUUUUAGGCUAAAUAUUUUUGGGAUACAGUUUUUGCAUCAAGGAUAGUUCAUUAGAACAGGUCACUUGGAGAUUAGAGGAACGGCUUAGGUAUUGCUAAUAGUCUGUCAAGCCAGAAUUUCUGUAAUUGUGUGAAACCAUUCCUAAAUUGCUUCUUAACUCAGAACUAGUAAACGAAAACCUACAUAGCAAAAAGAAUCUAAGCCCUGUAAAAGUCAUUUUGCAAAAGUAACGCUAUAAAAUGGUGGAAAGUAGGACAAUAACAGUGGGGUGGCUGCAGCACAUGAGAAUAAACUCAAAUGCAGCAGCUGUAGAAACAAAAACAAAAAGCUGCUUACCCUUAGAAGUCCUCAGGUACACAGGAUCUCUAAUAAGAGACCCCACCUCCACUGCCAACAUUUAAAUGAGGUUUGGGAAGGGGUGGAUCCUGGCUCCAGCCCUUCCAAUUACUCAGGUGCGCUGCAUGCAGCUGAGCUCCCCUGGGUUGGCUCUGCCUUCCCACCAGGUGCUCAAUCACUGUUUCAGGCCUUGACUCAGCAUUUCCACUACAGCAAAUUUAUAUUUUAACGACUGUUUAUCUAAAAUAAUGAUGUAACUCUACAAGCAAUACAAGACUUAGAAGAUUUUUAUAAGAUGCAAAUGGCUGUAGCAUUUAGUGCUAUUGCAUGCUGCACCUUUUUGAUUUGUCUUGUUCCUGUAUAAUACACUAUACAGUAUUGCUGGUUGUGGAAGAAAGUGUGUCAUUUCUCACAGUGGUUUAACUACUGAUUGUGCAUUUAUGGAUGCCACAGCUGUUGACUGCUCUACUCUUUCAUUUUCAUAUUUAGCUGAUAGCAGGUUUGUUUGCUAUACACUGUGUUUUAGAUGGUGUGGAAAGUCCAUAUCAUUAUUACAUGAUAUGAAAAUAGUUGUGCAAUAAUUGAUGGAUGAAGUUAUUCAUCAUGAAUAUGAGGUAAUGCAGUAGGGACCAUGAUUUAAUCAUCAGAAGAGAGGGUCUCUGGAGCCCACACAAAGUUAUCAAAGUCAUUCCCAUGAUAAAUAGCAUAUGAUAAGCUGUUUGGGAAACAAUAAUGCAGUCCACAGAAAAAUGUACAUGCAGGAGGCAUACAAAUUCCUUGGAUGGAAAUCAAUUGACUCUGAAGAACUAAAGAAGAGAUAGUCCCAUAAGGAAAAUGAGAGGGAGCAAUGUCCAUAGAUCCAUCACUUUUUUAAAAAAUGAUCUUGCUUUAUAUGCAUAUUUGUUAGGAUUAUAACUUAUUGGCUUGAUUGUCAUUCACAAAGCAUUUUGCUUGCUAUUUAUUUGGAACUAGAAUAAGAGAAUGCUUUUAGGCAUAUAUAGGCUGAAUUGUGACCUUUUCUUUUGUUAUCUCCUUGCACGGACAAUUUUUCUCAGGAUUUUUUUUAUUAAAACACGAUCAUAAACCAAGUCAAGGUAGCAAUUGCACCUUAAUUUCAGCUGCAACGUCUUCUAUUGGAGACAUUAUUAUCCUAGAUGCCCAAUUUUUGUUAGAUGCAGGAGUUCCUCAGUACAAAUCAAAAUUCCAUAUAUGCAGUUUAGAAAGUGAUAGAUAAGAAGGGAAAAAUUAGUAGAGGGAGGGGAAUGAUACUUCUUUCUUUGUAAUAGACUUGCCACAGUUCACUGCUACUAUGUCACUAGUUAUCAAACAUCAGCACUGCUACUAUCACUCCUCCAGGUCUUUGCAUGCCAUCAAGCAAGAGGUGAACAACUGGGACUGAAAGAAGACAAAAUGAUGAGGUUAUCCUGAUGUAAGAAGUUUUAAUGAGAAAAUCACCACAGAUUUCCAGAAACAGUAUAACUAUUACCAAAGUCAUCAGUGAGACUAAAGAAGAGUAAAUGCAUUUCCUCCUGAUCUGCUGCUGUGAUUCACUGCAGAGUAUAUAGGUGUCCUAAGGAGAAGAGUCAUAUCCAUUCCAAGCAGAAAAUAUGUUCCCAAUGUUAUUUUCAGAUUCCCUUCACAGUACCUACUGAUCAAUGCAAGCUUUAUUUUCAGAGAAGCAGUAUGGGGAACAAAGUAUCCACUCCAAAAUAUGAAAAUUCAAAUUGCUUCAUUCCUUUUUCCUGUAAUACCCUCAGGUAGUCCACAAACAGUGACAGUAUUCAGUUCUAGUGUGCCUUUUACCCUGCUGGCACAAAGCCUUUCACAAAACAAGAUUCGCUAUGAUGGCACUCCAAAAAUCUUAAUUACCCCAAAUUGCCCAGCAAAGAGCAGUCCACUCUUACAGGAUCUUGUAAACUCUUUGUUAGGAGAAAGACUGAAACAGACUGAGACACACGCUUCUCACUGUGCAGCAGUCUCAGCUAGUGCUUAGAUAAGGGUACUAUUUGUUUUAUUACAUGCAUUUUCAGGAUCUUUUUAAACACACAGCAUAAAGUUGUGCUUGUGAAUUAAAAAAUAACCACAUAUGUUUCUUUUCUCCUGAAUCUGAAAGUACAACGGAAAUAGUUCAUUUUGCAAAUACUGACUCAAUGGCAUCUCUUGGACCUCUGUUCACAUUUGGCAUAGCUAUAGAGGAGAUAAUUGGAUGCCAGGAACUAUAAGGCACUGUUCUUGAUGUACUAGGCUUGUCAGCCAGGUCUGGGAGACAGAGAGAUAUCAGUACUCUCAAGGACACAUGGAGCUCCACCUGGCAAGGUACAGACAUAUGGUUUCAGAGGAUAUGGAUGCUCAGUGUAUUCCUAUCGAGCAGCCAGCCAUCGUUUGCUCCAGAUAAUCAAAUAUAUUCUUCACUGAGAAGCUGUAAGGCUAGAGCUUACAGCUCUGAAAGAUGAAAAGGGGAAGAGAUUGCUUGGAUGGCAGAUAUAAAAGGUUUUUCUUGUUCUGUCACUGACGCAUUCAGGUCCAUGAAGCAACUCAGCUGCUUUCUGUAAGAAAAAUUGGUACAUUUACAAUUCAGAUAGACACGUAAAGUCUGAAUAAAUACGUAUAUUUGGGGAACUCAGCUAAAGCAGAUAAGAACCACAACAUCUUUUGAAGUAGGCCCAUCACUGAUAAUUAUGAAUGUGAGAUAAUCUACCGUCAUUUAUUCCUGUAAAUAAUGUCAUCUCUUCCAAUUAAGAUCAACUACUUGUAUCUCCUCAUUUGCUUUAUUAGCAUUGUUGUCAAGAUCUGAAAAGCUUUAAUUAAAUAGUCAUCAUAAUUAUGGCUAGUUUCCCAAACGAUCGAAGUAAAUAAUUUAUAUAUAGGUUAUAAGAAAACUUUUUACUUACUGAAAUGUUG